ACGGAAGGCAGCAGUGGGGGAUAUUGCACAAUGGGGGAAACCCUGAUGCAGCGACGCCGCGUGAGUGAUGAAGUAUUUCGGUAUGUAAAGCUCUAUCAGCAGGGAAGAAAAUGACGGUACCUGACUAAGAAGCACCGGCUAAAUACGUGCCAGCAGCCGCGGUAAUACGUAUGGUGCAAGCGUUAUCCGGAUUUACUGGGUGUAAAGGGAGCGUAGACGGACGGCUAAGUCUGAUGUGAAAGGUGAGGGCUCAACCCUUAAACUGCAUUGGAAACUGGUCAUCUGGAGUGUCGGAGAGGUAAGUGGAAUUCCUAGUGUAGCGGUGAAAUGCGUAGAUAUUAGGAGGAACACCAGUGGCGAAGGCGGCUUACUGGACUGUAACUGACGUUGAGGCUCGAAAGCGUGGGGAGCAAACAGGAUUAGAUACCCUGGUA
Molecule: ribosomal RNA, 434 nt
Filed under: uncultured Lachnospiraceae bacterium
Lineage: Bacteria; Bacillati; Bacillota; Clostridia; Lachnospirales; Lachnospiraceae
Description: partial 16S ribosomal RNA
Rfam family: Bacterial small subunit ribosomal RNA
Source: RNAcentral